This 31-nucleotide non-coding RNA is filed under the name Rattus norvegicus (Norway rat). The record is from RNAcentral. Lineage: Eukaryota; Metazoa; Chordata; Mammalia; Rodentia; Muridae.
UGAUUGAAGCCUACCAAGUUCUUUAGUGGAA